Molecule: ribosomal RNA, 1440 nt
Filed under: Clavibacter michiganensis subsp. michiganensis
Lineage: Bacteria; Bacillati; Actinomycetota; Actinomycetes; Micrococcales; Microbacteriaceae
Description: bacterial SSU rRNA
Rfam family: Bacterial small subunit ribosomal RNA
Source: RNAcentral
AACGCUGGCGGCGUGCUUAACACAUGCAAGUCGAACGGUGAUGUCAGAGCUUGCUCUGGCGGAUCAGUGGCGAACGGGUGAGUAACACGUGAGUAACCUGCCCCCGACUCUGGGAUAACUGCUAGAAAUGGUAGCUAAUACCGGAUAUGACGAUUGGCCGCAUGGUCUGGUCGUGGAAAGAAUUUCGGUUGGGGAUGGACUCGCGGCCUAUCAGGUUGUUGGUGAGGUAAUGGCUCACCAAGCCUACGACGGGUAGCCGGCCUGAGAGGGUGACCGGCCACACUGGGACUGAGACACGGCCCAGACUCCUACGGGAGGCAGCAGUGGGGAAUAUUGCACAAUGGGCGAAAGCCUGAUGCAGCAACGCCGCGUGAGGGAUGACGGCCUUCGGGUUGUAAACCUCUUUUAGUAGGGAAGAAGCGAAAGUGACGGUACCUGCAGAAAAAGCACCGGCUAACUACGUGCCAGCAGCCGCGGUAAUACGUAGGGUGCAAGCGUUGUCCGGAAUUAUUGGGCGUAAAGAGCUCGUAGGCGGUUUGUCGCGUCUGCUGUGAAAUCCCGAGGCUCAACCUCGGGUCUGCAGUGGGUACGGGCAGACUAGAGUGCGGUAGGGGAGAUUGGAAUUCCUGGUGUAGCGGUGGAAUGCGCAGAUAUCAGGAGGAACACCGAUGGCGAAGGCAGAUCUCUGGGCCGUAACUGACGCUGAGGAGCGAAAGCAUGGGGAGCGAACAGGAUUAGAUACCCUGGUAGUCCAUGCCGUAAACGUUGGGAACUAGAUGUGGGGACCAUUCCACGGUCUCCGUGUCGCAGCUAACGCAUUAAGUUCCCCGCCUGGGGAGUACGGCCGCAAGGCUAAAACUCAAAGGAAUUGACGGGGGCCCGCACAAGCGGCGGAGCAUGCGGAUUAAUUCGAUGCAACGCGAAGAACCUUACCAAGGCUUGACAUAUACCGGAAACAUGCAGAAAUGUGUGCCCCGCAAGGUCGGUAUACAGGUGGUGCAUGGUUGUCGUCAGCUCGUGUCGUGAGAUGUUGGGUUAAGUCCCGCAACGAGCGCAACCCUCGUUCUAUGUUGCCAGCACGUAAUGGUGGGAACUCAUAGGAGACUGCCGGGGUCAACUCGGAGGAAGGUGGGGAUGACGUCAAAUCAUCAUGCCCCUUAUGUCUUGGGCUUCACGCAUGCUACAAUGGCCGGUACAAAGGGCUGCGAUACCGUAAGGUGGAGCGAAUCCCAAAAAGCCGGUCUCAGUUCGGAUUGAGGUCUGCAACUCGACCUCAUGAAGUCGGAGUCGCUAGUAAUCGCAGAUCAGCAACGCUGCGGUGAAUACGUUCCCGGGCCUUGUACACACCGCCCGUCAAGUCAUGAAAGUCGGUAACACCCGAAGCCAGUGGCCUAACCGCAAGGGAGGAGCUGUCGAAGGUGGGAUCGGUGAUUAGGACUA